UCCGUUAGGCGAUCGCUUUGAUUUAUCAGAGAGGAAAGUCCGGGCAGCAUAGGACAUGACAGUUGCUAACGGCAACCGGGGGUAACCCUAGGGAAAGUGCCACAGAAACGAAACUACCUCGCAAGAGGAAAAGGUGAAACGAGUGGGGUAAGAGCCCACAGCGGCGCCUGGUGACAGGCGAAGAAGGUAAACCCUGUCUGCUGCAAGGAGAUCUACAUAAGGGCUGUCCGCCCGUAGGUCGAUAACCGCUUGAUCUCGAGAGCAAUUUCGAGACUAGAUAGAUGGUCGCUCACGACAGAACCCGGCUUAUCGAUGGUCU
RNAcentral lists this RNase P RNA (319 nucleotides) under fish gut metagenome. Its description in RNAcentral is "Bacterial RNase P class A". It matches the Rfam family "Bacterial RNase P class A". From Rfam's summary of the family: Ribonuclease P (RNase P) is a ubiquitous endoribonuclease, found in archaea, bacteria and eukarya as well as chloroplasts and mitochondria. Its best characterised activity is the generation of mature 5'-ends of tRNAs by cleaving the 5'-leader elements of precursor-tRNAs. The record is from RNAcentral.